GAAAUGCGAAAAGUAGUGUGAAUUGCAGAAUUCAGUGAAUCAUCGAAUCUUUGAACGCACAUUGCGCCCCUUGGUAUUCCAUGGGGCAUGCCUGUUCGAGCGUCAUUUGUACCUUCAAGCUCUGCUUGGUGUUGGGUGUUUGUCCCGCCGUUGCGCGUGGACUCGCCUCAAAGCAAUUGGCAGCCGGCAUAAGCCUGGGAGCGCAGCACAAUUGUUGCUUCCAUUCUUUGUAUGUCGAGCGUCCAGCAAGCCUUUUAUUCUUGCGUUUGACCUCGGAUCAGGUAGGGAUACCCGCUGAACUUAA
This 304-nucleotide unclassified non-coding RNA is filed under the name uncultured Pleosporales. RNAcentral's name for it is "sequence contains ITS1". The stretch from base 1 to 105 matches the Rfam family "5.8S ribosomal RNA", at positions 50 to 154 of the family's 154-position model. The record is from RNAcentral. Lineage: Eukaryota; Fungi; Ascomycota; Dothideomycetes; Pleosporales.